AGGAAGAAGCUUGCUUCUUUGCUGACGAGUGGCGGACGGGUGAGUAAUGUCUGGGAAACUGCCUGAUGGAGGGGGAUAACUACUGGAAACGGUAGCUAAUACCGCAUAACGUCGCAAGACCAAAGAGGGGGACCUUCGGGCCUCUUGCCAUCGGAUGUGCCCAGAUGGGAUUAGCUAGUAGGUGGGGUAACGGCUCACCUAGGCGACGAUCCCUAGCUGGUCUGAGAGGAUGACCAGCCACACUGGAACUGAGACACGGUCCAGACUCCUACGGGAGGCAGCAGUGGGGAAUAUUGCACAAUGGGCGCAAGCCUGAUGCAGCCAUGCCGCGUGUAUGAAGAAGGCCUUCGGGUUGUAAAGUACUUUCAGCGGGGAGGAAGGGAGUAAAGUUAAUACCUUUGCUCAUUGACGUUACCCGCAGAAGAAGCACCGGCUAACUCCGUGCCAGCAGCCGCGGUAAUACGGAGGGUGCAAGCGUUAAUCGGAAUUACUGGGCGUAAAGCGCACGCAGGCGGUUUGUUAAGUCAGAUGUGACAUCCCCGGGCUCAACCUGGGAACUGCAUCUGAUACUGGCAAGCUUGAGUCUCGUAGAGGGGGGUAGAAUUCCAGGUGUAGCGGUGAAAUGCGUAGAGAUCUGGAGGAUACCGGUGGCGAAGGCGGCCCCCUGGACGAAGACUGACGCUC
This 684-nucleotide ribosomal RNA is filed under the name uncultured Pseudomonadota bacterium. RNAcentral describes it as "bacterial SSU rRNA". It matches the Rfam family "Bacterial small subunit ribosomal RNA", at positions 70 to 748 of the family's 1533-position model. Lineage: Bacteria; Pseudomonadati; Pseudomonadota. The record is from RNAcentral.